AUGCAGAGACUACUGGCCACCUUCUCUGUGACGGAGGCCCUGCCCCAGCUCACAGUGAGACAGUUGGCAGAGGUGUCCUCUAGUCCAGACCAGCUCAGCUCUGCUGCAGACGUCACCAUGCUGAUGAACUACGUACCCAACAUCCUCUUCACUGACUUCUUCAAUGACUUCUCUCUAGCCAUCACCGGUCAAGAGUCUAAGUUCCCGGUGGCGGUGCGUUCAGCCAUGCUCCAGCAGGUGUUUGAACGCGGGAACCUAUCAGACCGCUCCGUUAGCGACCAGGAGGUACUCACCUGGCUUCAGAGCAGGCUCCGCCCACUGCUGAUCAACCUGUCCCCGCUCCACGUCGCCCCCCUCUUCAGUGUGGUCGCACAGAGGAACUGCAACAUUGGACAGCAGCUGUAAGAGACGGACUGAUCUUCACUGGGGAUUUAGGCUCGCGUCCCAAAUUGCAACCUAUUACUUAUAAACUACGGUCACAAGUAGUGCACUAUGUAGGGAAUAGGGGGCCAUUGGGGAUGUAUCUCAGACUAAAGUAGUGCACUAUGUAGGGAAUAGGGGGCCAUGAGGGGUGUAUCUUAGGGUAAAGUAGUGCACUAUGUAGGGAAUAGGGGGCCAUGAGGGGUGUAUCUUAGGGUAAAGUAGUGCACUAUGUAGGGAAUAGGGGGCCAUGAGGGGUGUAUCUUAGGGUAAAGUAGUGCACUAUGUAGGGAAUAGGGGGCCAUGAGGGGUGUAUCUUAGGGUAAAGUAGUGCACUAUGUAGGGAAUAGGGGGCCAUGAGGGAUGUAUCUUAGGGUAAAGUAGUGCACUAUGUAGGGAAUAGGGGGCCAUGAGGGGUGUAUCUUAGGGUAAAGUAGUGCACUAUGUAGGGAAUAGGGGGCCAUGAGGGAUGUAUCUCAGGGUAAAGUAGUGCACUAUGUAGGGAAUAGGGAGCCAUUGGAGGUGUAUCACAGGGUAAAGUAGUGCACUAUGUAGGGAAUAGGGAGCCAUUGGAGGUGUAUCACAGGGUAAAGUAGUGCACUAUGUAGGGAAUAGGGAGCCAUUAGAGAUGUACAUUAGGGUAAAGUAGUGCACUAUGUUGGGAAUAGGGGGCCAUGAGGGAUGUAUCUCAGGCUAAAGUAGUGCACUAUGUAGGGAAUAGGGGCCAUUAGGGAUGUAUCUCAGACUAAAGUAGUGCACUACGUAGGGAAUAGGGGGCCAUUGGGGAUGUAUCUCAGGCUAAAGUAGUGCACUAUGUAGGGAAUAGGGAGCCAUGAGGGGUGUACCCUGAGUCAGUAGUGAUGUUGAUGUGCAGGGUGUAUCUAUCUUAAAUCUUGCUCUAUGUCACGUGAGACUGUAGAAGCAUGUUUUCCUGAAUCUUUGACUGAUCUCAAAGUGUGUGGGGGGGGGGGGGGCUCCCAGACAGUCACAUGUCCUCUACUCCCCACCGUAUCCGUCCUUCCUACUGUUCUCCCACCCUGCCCCCCUCCCCCUCUGUUUCCAACUGCAUAACAUGUUAAAUGUACAAGAUCCAUGUUAGACGAUAGUGUCAUGUGGGGGGUCGUCUCAUCAGCAGAGGAGAGGGGAGCCAUCUUGUAUUUUGAUGACGGGUAUGUUUCAUUCCUGACACGUUUGUCUCUCCAAGGGUGGAGGUGCUGAACGCCACCCUCCCUACACUUCAGGACAACACACAGAGAAACAUCUACGAUCAAAUCACCCUCUCCCUCCAAGGUACUGACAGACAUCCACAACACAUCCAUUGAAACUAUAAAUACUACAGAAUACUAUGAAACUAUAAAUACUACAGAAUACUAUGAAACUAAAUACUACA
Oncorhynchus mykiss (rainbow trout) is the source of this 1810-nucleotide long non-coding RNA. The record is from Ensembl. Lineage: Eukaryota; Metazoa; Chordata; Actinopteri; Salmoniformes; Salmonidae.